AACGAACGCUGGCGGCAUGCCUAACACAUGCAAGUCGAACGAGACCUUCGGGUCUAGUGGCGCACGGGUGCGUAACGCGUGGGAACCUGCCCUUAGGUUCGGAAUAACUCCCCGAAAGGGGUGCUAAUACCGGAUAAUGUCUUCGGACCAAAGAUUUAUCGCCUUUGGAUGGGCCCGCGUUGGAUUAGCUAGUUGGUAGGGUAAAAGCCUACCAAGGCGACGAUCCAUAGCUGGUCUGAGAGGAUGAUCAGCCACACUGGGACUGAGACACGGCCCAGACUCCUACGGGAGGCAGAAGUGGGGAAUAUUGGACAAUGGGCGAAAGCCUGAUCCAGCAAUGCCGCGUGAGUGAUGAAGGCCUUAGGGUUGUAAAGCUCUUUUACCCGGGAUGAUAAUGACAGUACCGGGAGAAUAAGCUCCGGCUACCUCCGU
This 432-nucleotide ribosomal RNA is filed under the name uncultured bacterium. RNAcentral's name for it is "partial 16S ribosomal RNA". It matches the Rfam family "Bacterial small subunit ribosomal RNA", at positions 29 to 506 of the family's 1533-position model. The record is from RNAcentral.